UAACAGAGUUGGAUAAUUGUUUAAUGAAGAAAAGGAUAACUCCUUCAGUUUUUUCUCUUGUGCUCCAAGAGUGACUCUAGUAUUAUCCUUCCUCUUCCCUUUAGCCUUUUUUUUCCUUCUCCUCUUCUCAUUUUUUCUCUACACGUAAUCAAUGUUUUUUCUAAUUGUUCUUCAUCAAAAAUACCUCCUUUAUUGCCAUUGAUCUUUCAUAUCACACGCAUCUCAGAUUAUUUCUUCUGGGAAAUUCAAAAGAGCAUAUGAUUUCAAUUGUUCAAUUGUAGAAAACCUUAAAAACACUGUCAAGGCCUAAAAUCCUAAGCCCUAGGAUAGAUUACAGUCAACCAUUGUUUAUUUUAUUUAAGAACGUAGUUUUCUGUUUCAAUUUUAUUGAAAACACAGGUCAUAACCUGAAAUUCCAGCAACAUAUAGAUUUAGUCCUCUUCCUAAACCCUAAUAAGUCCUCUUUCAUAGACUAUCCUAAAUUCCAGCAACAUAUUUAUAUGACAGAACAAAACAAUGCUAAACUCAAAAUGGUGUUCUAGAAGGAUACAAUCGUUAAGUUUAACAGCCUAUUACAAUGCUAAAGGGUGUUUGACCCUAAGACCCAUUUAAAGUCCAUUCUAAUAUAAAUAUGUUUUUAAGGGACAGCUUAGAAACAAGUUCACACUCAUUUCGUUUAUCGUAGUUUAUCAUAGAACUUGAUAUAUAGGUUACACUAACGGGAAGCCAUCUUUUGCCUAAAAUGACCCUAAGACAUAAAAAUCCACCUCACUAGGUUCCCUCCCUAGUUUUGGCUUUUGACUUUGUGCUCAUGUCACAACAAAAAGGACAACCCUAGCAGUGAUCAGCAAUGCACCUCCUUGAUAAUUGUUCCCAGACUUUAGUCCCAACAACAGGAACAUAAAACCAGAAAAUUAAGUGCACGCGACUCACUAGUAUAUCUUCUACAUUUACUCCUACUCCAGUCCAUCUUCUUAUCUUUUUUUUUUUGUGAUUCUGUGGUCAACAAUGGCGAUACUUUCCAACAAAGCCCUAAAAUCCUCAAGAAGACAAGGGUAUGAACAGAAACUAAUGAACUGUUGAAACU
Molecule: long non-coding RNA, 1087 nt
Filed under: Phoenix dactylifera (date palm)
Lineage: Eukaryota; Viridiplantae; Streptophyta; Magnoliopsida; Arecales; Arecaceae
Description: long non-coding RNA (PDAC_LNC009542)
Source: RNAcentral